Molecule: transfer-messenger RNA, 345 nt
Filed under: Christensenellales
Lineage: Bacteria; Bacillati; Bacillota; Clostridia
Also listed under: 1 other name
Description: RUG740 sp902778055 Standard tmRNA
Rfam family: transfer-messenger RNA
About the family: Bacterial tmRNA, also known as 10Sa RNA or SsrA, is named for its dual tRNA and mRNA-like properties. Its role is to liberate the mRNA from a stalled ribosome.
Source: RNAcentral
GGGGAUGAUCCGGUUUCGACGGGGAUACUGAAGACAGGAUAAGCGAGCCGCGGCCCCUGUACCGCGCAACAACGGGGAAAAACAAUAACUGACACUAGCAAUUACGCUUUCGCGGCUUAAUGCCGCGCGUCGGCCCUGAGCGCCUGCGGCUCAGCAAGCCGGCGUCAUUGACGCAGGGAACGAGCGCCGCUUAAGCUUUGCGGCGGCGCCCGUAAAAAUGAAGCUACCUUCCUGAGAGUUUUUCCGCGGACGCUCACGGAGGGGAAUUCAAAUCACGGAAUGCGCUCGGAGAAAGUUCUGCCAACGGAUCUUCGGACAGGGGUUCGACUCCCCUCAUCUCCACCA